UACGUAGGGAGCGAGCGUUGUCCGGAAUUACUGGGUGUAAAGGGAGUGUAGGCGGGAGCGCAAGUUGAAUGUCAAAUCCAUCGGCUCAACCGGUGGCCGCGUUCAAAACUGUGUUUCUUGAGUGAAGUAGAGGCCGGCGGAAUUCCUAGUGUAGCGGUGAAAUGCGUAGAUAUUAGGAAGAACACCAGUGGCGAAGGCGAUUCUCUGGACUGUAACUGACGCUGAGGCUCGAAAGCGUGGGUAGCAAACAGGAUUAGAUACCCUGGUAGU
Molecule: ribosomal RNA, 270 nt
Filed under: uncultured prokaryote
Description: partial 16S ribosomal RNA
Rfam family: Bacterial small subunit ribosomal RNA
Source: RNAcentral